Molecule: non-coding RNA, 118 nt
Organism: Corynebacterium sp. KPL1855
Lineage: Bacteria; Bacillati; Actinomycetota; Actinomycetes; Mycobacteriales; Corynebacteriaceae
Source: Rfam
GUCGGUGGUUCAUAGCUACAGGGAAACGCCCGGUCCCAUUCCGAACCCGGAAGCUAAGCCUGUACGCGCUGAUGGUACUGCAACCGGGAGGUUGUGGGAGAGUAAGUCACCGCCGACA